AGUUUGAUCCUGGCUCAGGAUGAACGCUGGCGGCGUGCUUAACACAUGCAAGUCGAACGGGGGUCACUUGACGGAAGUUUUCGGACGGAAGUGAUUUGACCCGAGUGGCGGACGGGUGAGUAACACGUGAGUAACCUGCCUUUUGCUGGGGAAUAACUGUGGGAAACCAUGGCUAAUACCGCAUAUUGUGUUUACAGGGCAUCUUGUGGACAUGAAAGGAGCAAUCCGGCAGAAGAUGGGCUCGCGUCCGAUUAGGUAGUUGGUGGGGUAAAGGCUUACCAAGCCGACGAUCGGUAGCUGUACUGAGAGGUAGAACAGCCACAUUGGGACUGAGAUACGGCCCAAACUCCUACGGGAGGCAGCAGUGAGGAAUAUUGGUCAAUGGGCGAGAGCCUGAACCAGCCAUCCCGCGUGCAGGAUGACAGUCCUAGUGAUUGUAAACUGCUUUUCUAUAAGAUGAAUAAGGACUACGUGUAGUUCGAUGACCGUAUUAUAGGAAUAAGCAUCGGCCAACUCCGUGCCAGCAGCCGCGGUAAUACGGAGGAUGCAAGCGUUAUCCGGAUUCAUUGGGUUUAAAGGGUGCGCAGGCGGAGAGAUAAGUCAGUGGUGAAAAACUGCCGCUCAACGGUAGUCUUGCCAUUGAUACUGUCUUUCUUGAGUAUGGAUGAGGUAGGCGGAAUGUGCAGUGUAGCGGUGAAAUGCAUAGAUAUUGCACGGAACACCAAUUGCGAAGGCAGCUUACUGGACCAUUACUGACGCUCAGGCACGAAAGCGUGGGGAUCAAACAGGAUUAGAUACCCUGGUAGUCCACACUGUAAACGAUGGAUACUAGGGUGUAGGAGGGUAUCGACCCCUUCUGUGCCGGAGUUAACACAAUAAGUAUCCCACCUGGGGAGUACGAUCGCAAGAUUAAAACUCAAAGGAAUUGACGGGGGCCCGCACAAGCAGUGGAGUAUGUGGUUUAAUUCGAAGCAACGCGAAGAACCUUACCAGGGCUUGACAUCCCUUGCAAGCUGUAGAGAUACAGUGUCCCUUCGGGGCAAGGAGACAGGUGGUGCAUGGUUGUCGUCAGCUCGUGUCGUGAGAUGUUGGGUUAAGUCCCGCAACGAGCGCAACCCCUGUUGUUAGUUGCCAUCAUUAAGUUGGGCACUCUAGCGAGACUGCCGGUGAUAAAUCGGAGGAAGGUGGGGACGACGUCAAAUCAUCAUGCCCCUUAUGUCCUGGGCUACACACGUACUACAAUGGCUGUUACAGAGGGUAGCUAUACCGCGAGGUGGAGCCAAUCCCUAAAGGCAGCCCCAGUUCGGAUUGCAGGCUGAAACUCGCCUGCAUGAAGUCGGAAUUGCUAGUAAUGGCAGGUCAGCAUACUGCCGUGAAUACGUUCCCGGGCCUUGUACACACCGCCCGUCAAG
This 1412-nucleotide ribosomal RNA is filed under the name uncultured bacterium. RNAcentral describes it as "partial 16S ribosomal RNA". It matches the Rfam family "Bacterial small subunit ribosomal RNA". The record is from RNAcentral.